GAUGAACGCUGGCGGCGUGCCUAAUACAUGCAAGUCGAGCGAACGGACGAGAAGCUUGCUUCUCUGAUGUUAGCGGCGGACGGGUGAGUAACACGUGGAUAACCUACCUAUAAGACUGGGAUAACUUCGGGAAACCGGAGCUAAUACCGGAUGAUAUUUUGAACCGCAUGGUUCAAAAGUGAAAGACGGUCUUGCUGUCACUUAUAGAUGGAUCCGCGCUGCAUUAGCUAGUUGGUAAGGUAACGGCUUACCAAGGCAACGAUGCAUAGCCGACCUGAGAGGGUGAUCGGCCACACUGGAACUGAGACGCGGUCCAGACUCCUACGGGAGGCAGCAGUAGGGAAUCUGCCGCAAUGGGCGAAAGCCUGACGGAGCAACGCCGCGUGAGUGAUGAAGGUCUUCGGAUCGUAAAAAUCUGUUAUUAGGGAAGAACAUAUGUGUAAGUAACUGUGCACAUCUUGACGGUACCUAAUCAGAAAGCCACGGCUAACUACGUG
This 497-nucleotide ribosomal RNA is filed under the name uncultured bacterium. Its description in RNAcentral is "partial 16S ribosomal RNA". It matches the Rfam family "Bacterial small subunit ribosomal RNA", at positions 28 to 507 of the family's 1533-position model. The record is from RNAcentral.